GACGAACGCUGGCGGCGUGCUUAACACAUGCAAGUCGAACGGAAAGGCCCUGCUUUUGUGGGGUGCUCGAGUGGCGAACGGGUGAGUAACACGUGAGUAACCUGCCCUUGACUUUGGGAUAACUUCAGGAAACUGGGGCUAAUACCGGGUAGGAGCUCCUGCUGCAUGGUGGGGGUUGGAACGUUUCGGCGGUUGGGGAUGGACUCGCGGCUUAUCAGCUUGUUGGUGGGGUAGUGGCUUACCAAGGCUUUGACGGGUAGCCGGCCUGAGAGGGUGACCGGCCACAUUGGGACUGAGAUACGGCCCAGACUCCUACGGGAGGCAGCAGUGGGGAAUAUUGCACAAUGGGCGGAAGCCUGAUGCAGCAACGCCGCGUGCGGGAUGACGGCCUUCGGGUUGUAAACCGCUUUCGCCUGUGACGAAGCGUGAGUGACGGUAAUGGGUAAAGAAGCACCGGCUAACUACGUG
This 468-nucleotide ribosomal RNA is filed under the name uncultured bacterium. RNAcentral describes it as "partial 16S ribosomal RNA". It matches the Rfam family "Bacterial small subunit ribosomal RNA", at positions 28 to 507 of the family's 1533-position model. The record is from RNAcentral.